RNAcentral lists this ribosomal RNA (434 nucleotides) under uncultured Lachnospiraceae bacterium. Its description in RNAcentral is "partial 16S ribosomal RNA". It matches the Rfam family "Bacterial small subunit ribosomal RNA", at positions 341 to 792 of the family's 1533-position model. The record is from RNAcentral. Lineage: Bacteria; Bacillati; Bacillota; Clostridia; Lachnospirales; Lachnospiraceae.
ACGGAAGGCAGCAGUGGGGAAUAUUGCACAAUGGGCGAAAGCCUGAUGCAGCGACGCCGCGUGAGUGAAGAAGUAUCUCGGUAUGUAAAGCUCUAUCAGCAGGGAAGAAAAUGACGGUACCUGACUAAGAAGCCCCGGCUAACUACGUGCCAGCAGCCGCGGUAAUACGUAGGGGGCAAGCGUUAUCCGGAUUUACUGGGUGUAAAGGGAGCGUAGACGGUUUGGCAAGUCUGAAGUGAAAUGCGGGGGUUCAACUCCUGAACUGCUUUGGAAACUGUCGAACUAGAGUGCAGGAGAGGUAAGUGGAAUUCCUAGUGUAGCGGUGAAAUGCGUAGAUAUUAGGAGGAACACCAGUGGCGAAGGCGGCUUACUGGACUGUAACUGACGUUGAGGCUCGAAAGCGUGGGGAGCAAACAGGAUUAGAUACCCUGGUA